RNAcentral lists this ribosomal RNA (888 nucleotides) under Pseudofusicoccum adansoniae. RNAcentral describes it as "LSU rRNA". It matches the Rfam family "Eukaryotic large subunit ribosomal RNA", at positions 37 to 944 of the family's 3401-position model. The record is from RNAcentral. Lineage: Eukaryota; Fungi; Ascomycota; Dothideomycetes; Botryosphaeriales; Botryosphaeriaceae.
AGCAUAUCAAUAAGCGGAGGAAAAGAAACCAACUGGGAUUGCUUAGUAACGGCGAGUGAAGCGGCAAUAGCUCAAAUUUGAAAGCUGGCGUCUUUGGCGUCCGCGUUGUAAUUUGUAGAGGAUGCUUCGGCGAGGGCUCCGGUCUAAGUUCCCUGGAACGGGACGUCAUAGAGGGUGAGAAUCCCGUAUGUGAUCGGUUGCCUAAGCCAUGUGAAGCUCCUUCGACGAGUCGAGUUGUUUGGGAAUGCAGCUCUAAAUGGGAGGUAAAUUUCUUCUAAAGCUAAAUACCGGCCAGAGACCGAUAGCGCACAAGUAGAGUGAUCGAAAGAUGAAAAGCACUUUGGAAAGAGAGUUAAAAAGUACGUGAAAUUGUUGAAAGGGAAGCGCUUGCAACCAGACUCGUCCGCAGUUGCUCAGCCGGUCUCUUGACCGGCGUACUCUUCUGCGGCCGGGCCAGCAUCAGUUCGGGCGGCCGGAUAAAGGCCUCGGGAAUGUAGCACCCUUCGGGGUGUGUUAUAGCCCGGGGUGGAAUGCGGCCAGCCUGGACUGAGGAUCUCGCUUCGGCUAGGAUGCUGGCGUAAUGGUUGUAAGCGGCCCGUCUUGAAACACGGACCAAGGAGUCUAACAUCUAUGCGAGUGUUUGGGUGUCAAACCCAUGCGCGUAAUGAAAGUGAACGGAGGUGGGAACCCUCACGGGUGCACCAUCGACCGAUCCUGAUGUCUUCGGAUGGAUUUGAGUAUGAGCAUAGCUGUUGGGACCCGAAAGAUGGUGAACUAUGCCUGAAUAGGGUGAAGCCAGAGGAAACUCUGGUGGAGGCUCGCAGCGGUUCUGACGUGCAAAUCGAUCGUCAAAUUUGGGUAUAGGGGCGAAAGACUAAUCGAACCAUC